This 207-nucleotide ribosomal RNA is filed under the name uncultured bacterium. RNAcentral's name for it is "partial 16S ribosomal RNA". It matches the Rfam family "Bacterial small subunit ribosomal RNA", at positions 568 to 774 of the family's 1533-position model. The record is from RNAcentral.
CGUGUAGGCGGCUUGGUAAGUCGGGUGUGAAAGCCCGGGGCUCAACCCCGGAAUUGCACUCGAUACUGCCUCGCUAGAGUCCCGGAGAGGAGAGCGGAAUUCCCGGUGUAGAGGUGAAAUUCGUAGAUAUCGGGAGGAACACCAGCGGCGAAGGCGGCUCUCUGGACGGUGACUGACGCUGAGACGCGAAAGCGUGGGGAGCAAACA